AUGAAUGGACUCUUUUGGAAUUGCAGAGGGGCAGGUAAGAAGGGGAUGAGGACCUGCUUCUCUGAUAUUAUUAGAGAUCAUUCCCUCGAUUUCAUUGGCCUUCAACAGACUAAGAAGAGCAAUUUUACCCCUAAGUACUUGAGAAAAAUUGAUCCCUUUGAUAGAUUUAAUUGGAACUGGGUCCCCUCUAUUGGCAAAUCAGGUGGGAUUUUAUGUGGGGUGAAAAAAGAAUCCUUGGACACUGUUUCAUGGACAAUGGGGAAAUAUCUCCUGCAAGUUAAUGUAUUUGAUGUAAAGCUAAAAUGCAUAUGGGCCCUCAUAGUUGUUUAUGGGGCUGCUCACGAUGAGGAUAAAGAGGAAUUCCUAAUAGAGUUAACCUCGGUCUGCUCCCACAUUAGGAUGCCUUAUAUAGUGGGUGGCCAUUUCAAUAUCCCACGGGAUAGUAGCGACAAAAAUAAACACCUGUGUUGGAUGAGGGGUUCUGGCAAACCCUUAAGGUUCGAACUCUGGGGUGCACACGAAGUCUUUCCCUCCUACCGAUCCACGCCCUAG
This 552-nucleotide ribosomal RNA is filed under the name Triticum aestivum (bread wheat). Its description in RNAcentral is "partial small subunit ribosomal RNA". Lineage: Eukaryota; Viridiplantae; Streptophyta; Magnoliopsida; Poales; Poaceae. The record is from RNAcentral.